GAUGAACGCUGGCGGCGUGCUUAACACAUGCAAGUCGAACGAGAAAUGAUAUUACGAUCUCUUCGGAGUGACGAUUUUAUUUCGAGUGGCGGACGGGUGAGUAACGCGUGAGCAACCUGCCCUGUACCGGGGGAUACCAGUUGGAAACGACUGUUAAUACCGCAUAAGCGCACGAUAAGACAUCUUGUUGUGUGAAAAACUCCGGUGGUAUAGGAUGGGCUCGCGUAUGAUUAGCCAGUUGGCGGGGUAAAGGCCCACCAAAGCGACGAUCAUUAGCCGACCUGAGAGGGCGACCGGCCACAUUGGGACUGAGACACGGCCCAAACUCCUACGGGAGGCAGCAGUGGGGAAUAUUGCACAAUGGGCGAAAGCCUGAUGCAGCGACGCCGCGUGAGUGAGGAAGUAUUUCGGUAUGUAAAGCUCUAUCAGCAGGGAAGAAAGAAAUGACGGUACCUGAGUAAGAAGCUCCGGCUAAAUACGUGCCAGCAGCCGCGGUAAUACGUAUGGAGCAAGCGUUAUCCGGAUUUACUGGGUGUAAAGGGAGCGUAGGCGGCAGAGCAAGUCUGAUGUGAAAGCCCGGGGCUCAACCCCGGUAGUGCAUUGGAAACUGUUCAGCUCGAGUGUCGGAGGGGUAAGCGGAAUUCCUGGUGUAGCGGUGAAAUGCGUAGAUAUCACGAAGAACACCGGAGGCGAAGGCGGCUUACUGGACGAUUACUGACGCUGAGGCUCGAAAGCGUGGGGAGCGAACAGG
This 751-nucleotide ribosomal RNA is filed under the name uncultured Shuttleworthella sp. RNAcentral's name for it is "bacterial SSU rRNA". It matches the Rfam family "Bacterial small subunit ribosomal RNA", at positions 28 to 776 of the family's 1533-position model. Lineage: Bacteria; Bacillati; Bacillota; Clostridia; Lachnospirales; Lachnospiraceae. The record is from RNAcentral.